This 440-nucleotide ribosomal RNA is filed under the name Veillonella parvula. RNAcentral describes it as "bacterial SSU rRNA". It matches the Rfam family "Bacterial small subunit ribosomal RNA", at positions 28 to 435 of the family's 1533-position model. Lineage: Bacteria; Bacillati; Bacillota; Negativicutes; Veillonellales; Veillonellaceae. The record is from RNAcentral.
GACGAACGCUGGCGGCGUGCUUAACACAUGCAAGUCGAACGAAGAGCGAUGGAAGCUUGCUUCUAUCAAUCUUAGUGGCGAACGGGUGAGUAACGCGUAAUCAACCUGCCCUUCAGAGGGGGACAACAGUUGGAAACGACUGCUAAUACCGCAUACGAUCUAACCUCGGCAUCGAGGAAAGAUGAAAGGUGGCCUCUAUUUAUAAGCUAUCACUGAAGGAGGGGAUUGCGUCUGAUUAGCUAGUUGGAGGGGUAACGGCCCACCAAGGCGAUGAUCAGUAGCCGGUCUGAGAGGAUGAACGGCCACAUUGGGACUGAGACACGGCCCAGACUCCUACGGGAGGCAGCAGUGGGGAAUCUUCCCGCAAUGGACGGGAAAGUCUGACGGGAGCAAACGCCCGCGUGAGUGAUGACGGGCCUUUCCGGGUUGUAAAAGCUUCU